UCCAGACUCCUACGGGAGGCAGCAGUGGGGAAUAUUGCACAAUGGGGGAAACCCUGAUGCAGCGACGCCGCGUGAGCGAUGAAGGAUUUCGGGAUGUAAAGCUCUCUCAGCAGGGAAGAAAAUGACGGUACCUGACUAAGAAGCCCCGGCUAACUACGUGCCAGCAGCCGCGGUAAUACGUAGGGGGCAAGCGUUAUCCGGAUUUACUGGGUGUAAAGGGAGCGUAGACGGCAAUGCAAGCCAGAUGUGAAAGCCCGGGGCUCAACCCCGGGACUGCAUUUGGAACUGUGUAGCUGGAGUGUCGGAGAGGCAGGCGGAAUUCCUAGUGUAGCGGUGAAAUGCGUAGAUAUUAGGAGGAACACCAGUGGCGAAGGCGGUCUGCUGGGCAGCAACUGACGCUGAGGCGCGAAAGCGUGGGGAGCAAACAGGAUUAGAUACCCCUGUAC
This 446-nucleotide ribosomal RNA is filed under the name uncultured bacterium. Its description in RNAcentral is "bacterial SSU rRNA". It matches the Rfam family "Bacterial small subunit ribosomal RNA", at positions 330 to 793 of the family's 1533-position model. The record is from RNAcentral.